Molecule: long non-coding RNA, 1551 nt
Organism: Macaca fascicularis (crab-eating macaque)
Lineage: Eukaryota; Metazoa; Chordata; Mammalia; Primates; Cercopithecidae
Source: Ensembl
UGGGAGGUUGAGGUUGAUCUGAGUUGCCAUUCAUCUGCCAAACCCUCCAGGGCAACUCUUCUUCAACCUCGACCUAUACAGGAAAGGGGGACAGUCUCUUCACCAAUUUGUUCUUCACUGUGUAGUGGGAGUUGGGAGCAGGUGGGAGAUAUGCGUCACAUGAUUAACUCAAGCCACUCAAUAAAAACCUUCCACAAAUUAGAUCUGUAAAAAGCAUUCUUGCUAAUGUUCACAAGCUGCUAAAAACACACAAAAUAGCUUUUGCACCCCGAGAUCUGGAGGAAAUUCAAAGUUCUACUUGGCUGCUGAGUCCAAUUAGGGAAGCAAGCCCUGUUGCUGGGUUUAUCAGUGAAUCUGAGGGGAAAGGAAAAUGGCAGCAGUGGGAUGGACAAAUGGUUGUUAUCUUGAAUUCAUGAAAUCAUGAUGACGAUGAUGAUGACACUUAGUUUUAUAUAUAAACCUGAAAAUAAAAACACAAAGGACUAAGUAUACUAAAUAGAUCCUCACCCUUUGCAAAUGUAAACUCUCAGUUUCAUUUACAAAUAGCACGUUGUGCAAGUUAGUUUGCAAUUUUACCUUUAAUAAUUAAAUCUAUCUUAUUCUGAGAAAAGUGACCACCAAAGGACAGGCAGUGAACAUUUUAAAAUUGAUUGUGGUUUAAGGCAAUUAUUCUCAACCUAAAUCAACUGCAUCACCUUGUAACUUCUUAGAAAUUAUUCAGGCUCCACCCCAGGCCUAUCAAAUAAGAAACACUGGGGAUAGGGCCCAGCAAUCUGUGUUUGCAAGCCUUCAAGGUGAUUUAAUAUACUCUAAAAUUUGAGAAUCACUGGUCUAAGGCGUUGGAUAGAGUUCCUGACCCAAUGUAUCUUAAGACAGAGAAAACAGAUCCCCCCUUUUUUGUUUAAAUUUUUUUGUUGUGAAAGGUUUUUCAUAUAUACAAAAUGUUCAAGAAAUGAUGGAAGAAAUAUUUAUAUAAUAAAUCCCCAAGUUUCUACUUAUUGACACAUGGCCAGUUUUGUUUCAUGUGUUUUCUUCACAUCACAUUAAUGGGCCAUUUAAAAAUAAUUCCCAGCCAUGACAUCAUGUCAAAUAACAUUUCAAAAAACUGAGAGCACUUAUAAAGUACUGUUAGUACAAUUUAAACAAUUUUAUGGUGCCUUAUAAGAAGAGUUGGCCAAUGAAUAGAAUUCACUGUGUGAACAUGCUGCAUUUCCCUCCAUGAAUGGAAGGUACAGUCACUGUCCAUUGCAUUCAUAGCUCCAUCUUGAUCAGAGAAGUUCCCUCACAACCUGCUUUAGACAUUCAGCCCCUCAGGAGGAUAGACAUUAGCUCAGAUGGAAAACACCAUUUGUAAUUCAUUGCUCUCAUAUGAGUAUGAUGUAAAUUCUCCUCAGCUUUGUAAACUGCUCAGUUUUUAUCAUAUACAAGAGUCCGUGUUAUCUUAACUAUCUCUUAGUCUGACACAGCACACUGCUAAGUGGAGACAGUGGUCCAUGGGUCCAUAGGUGGGGAUGACAAUGAAUCCCCCCACCCCCCAGAAAAAAAAAAAAA